Molecule: long non-coding RNA, 1676 nt
Organism: Eurytemora carolleeae
Lineage: Eukaryota; Metazoa; Arthropoda; Copepoda; Calanoida; Temoridae
Exons: 2
Source: RefSeq, a predicted model, not a curated record
AAAAAAACUAAAAUUAUAUAAAUAAUGUUUUAUUUGUUUUGCAGAGCUCGAGUUGAACAGAUUCAGACUAGUCUAGCUGAACUCCUUCACAGCUACCUCAACCACAGACAUGGGCGAGAGCAUGGAAGAUCUAAAUUUGCCUCUGGAAUGAGAUUAAUCAGUAAAUGUCGCCAACUUCACGAUAUUUUAUCCAAGAAUAAGAUAGAUAUCAGGGGUUAAACUUCAUGAUAUUUUAUCCAAGAAUAAGAUAGAUAUCAGGGGUUAAACUUCAUGAUAUUUUAUCCAAGAAUAAGAUAGAUAUCAGCGGUUAAACUCAUUCCCGUGAUUUAACCAAGUGCAUUUAUAACAACUAUCUUAGAGUUUUAUGGUACAGUUGUCAUACUUACAAUUGUAUACGAUAGACAUUCCUGCAGAUAAAAAAUGUCGUCUUAAAUUGUUGAAAUAACAUGAAUUUAAAAUGUAUCACUAUUGUAAAUUUCAAAAUCUGUUAUAAAUUUAAAAUUUUGUCUUCCAUGUGUAGAUUGAAAUGGCAAGAAUGAAAACUCUGUAAGAAAAUUGUGAAAAUGAAAUCAACCUAAACCUGAGGAUAUUUAAAUAUUGUCAUUGCUUCAAGAUACCUCUAAACUGCUCGUUAUUCAUUAAAAGGUACAAAACGAAAAACGAAUUGUGUAUCCAAUAUUCUUAAAGAAAUUUUAGCUGUUUUAUACUGUUAAUUAGCUAAUCCAGAAUACGUACAUAUCCCGACAUAAUUCGUACAUGCCAUGCAACAUAUUGUACAAGUAGUAUAAUUCAUAAAUCAAAUAUUCACGUUAAUAUUUUAUUUUUUGUACAGCCUGUCAAAGUCUGCAAAAUUGUCGUAUUGGUAUUACAUCGCUGAAAAUUCUAAAUAGUUACUUGCUCUUAUUGCAUGUUAGUCCUUGAAAGAAAUCUAAUUUUUUUUUUCUUGAAAUUUUCUGCAUUUAAUCCCAGAAUUAAGAUUGAAUGUUUUCUUUGAGUUCGAAGAUUUUGUGAUGAUUGAUUAAUUAAUAUUUUUUCUAUAAAACUUCAUGUUUGAUCCCCGCAGACUGAUAUUAGAAUUUUUCAUUUUCACUUUUUAAACACAAGAUACAGGGUGGCACAAUAAACAUCGGAAUUCAGAGACGAAUUCGAACUCGUCUUUGUAAAGAAUUAGCGUUGUGUUAUCUAAUCUUAAUGGUUAAAAUAAUGUUACGUCUGCUAGAUUAUAUUUUUCGUAAACAGUAAAAGACUGUUUGUUAUUCUACAAAACUUUGCAUGAUGUUCUGUAUUCAGCAAGAUAAACAGUGAAGAGAAACUGUAUUGUGUUUGUAUAAACGAAUUUCUAAUAUUAAGUACAAUACAGUAAGCAAUAAAAAAAUUAACAACCAAUUUCUGAACUCGAGUAGACGGAUUAAAGCUUUCCUAUUAGGCAGCACCAACUAAAUUUAAAAAUCAUUUACAGACGAUAUCAAAAUCGUCGCUGAAUUCCCAGUUUAUUGAGACACCCUGUAUACAUAUAUAAAUGCAGAUAGCAGAUUCUUACGUUAUUGAUAUUAUUAUAUAUGGUUAUUUUGUUGUGUGUUUUUUGAUUUAUUGUGAUUUUUGAAUGUAAGCUUAAACAAAGCCUGUAUAAAUGUAAAAUCAUUUAUCCAAAUUUACAAUAAAGUAAACUUAAAUUC